RNAcentral lists this ribosomal RNA (301 nucleotides) under uncultured bacterium. Its description in RNAcentral is "partial 16S ribosomal RNA". It matches the Rfam family "Bacterial small subunit ribosomal RNA", at positions 509 to 807 of the family's 1533-position model. The record is from RNAcentral.
CAGUAGCCACGGUAAUACAGAGGGUGCAAGCGUUAAUCGGAAUUACUGGGCGUAAAGCGCGCGUAGGUGGUUUGUUAAGUUGGAUGUGAAAUCCCCGGGCUCAACCUGGGAACUGCAUCCAAAACUGGCAAGCUAGAGUAUGGUAGAGGGUGGUGGAAUUUCCUGUUUAGCGGUGAAAUGCGUAGAUAUAGGAAGGAACACCAGUGGCGAAGGCGACCACCUGGACUGAUACUGACACUGAGGUGCGAAAGCGUGGGGAGCAAACAGGAUUAGAUACCCCAGUAGUCCCUGUCUCUUAUAC